This 338-nucleotide ribosomal RNA is filed under the name uncultured Ruminococcus sp. Its description in RNAcentral is "partial 16S ribosomal RNA". Lineage: Bacteria; Bacillati; Bacillota; Clostridia; Eubacteriales; Oscillospiraceae. The record is from RNAcentral.
GGAGUCUGGGCCGUGUCUCAGUCCCAAUGUGGCCGUCCAACCUCUCAGUCCGGCUACUGAUCGUUGCCUUGGUGAGCCGUUACCUCACCAACUAGCUAAUCAGACGCGAGCUCAUCCUUAAGCGAUAAAAUCUUUUAUAGCUGUAUCAUGCGAUACUACUAUCUUAUGCGGUAUUAUCAGUCAUUUCUAACUGCUAUCCCCCUCUUAAGGGCAGAUUGCUCACGUGUUACUCACCCGUCCGCCACUAAGUUUAUCAAAGCAAGCUCCGAUAAACUCCGUUCGACUUGCAUGUGUUAAGCGUGCCGCCAGCGUUCGUCCUGAGCCAUGAUCAAACUACU